Molecule: long non-coding RNA, 2740 nt
Filed under: Mus musculus (house mouse)
Lineage: Eukaryota; Metazoa; Chordata; Mammalia; Rodentia; Muridae
Description: long non-coding RNA chr16:72164711-72167451
Source: RNAcentral
AAUCCUUAAAAAACAAAAGCAAUAUUUGAUUCACAGUCUUCAUGUUUCAUCUUUUCACUGGUGGAUUUUUAUAUUCCUUUUAAAUUUCCCAUUUUCCUUGGUAUAUUUCUGUUUCUUUUGUGUGUGUGUGUGUGCUAUGCACAAAAGCUCUUCUCUCUCUCUCAGAUACAUUCUCUUGUCCAUGCCUAACUUGUCAGUCCAUAUCAACAUUUGCUUUCUCACUGUGUGUUAUGACAAUCAAUAUUUGACAUUGUGAGAGGGCUUUCUACUAAUCCACAGUUUGUCUUGAUUCUAAUAGAAAAAAAUGGAAACUUUCUCUCUUGGGAGACUAGGCAUGGAUGUAAAAAUAACCACCAUCAGAAAAUAGGUUUUGUUCAUUAUAGUUCUAAUCCGGUUAUCGGUAGGUUUCAGCCAGCUCCAUCCCCACAGGCUCACAAAGACACAACUGUGAUGGUGUUUCCUAGAGCUAAGAGAGGACUGCUCAUCUGUGUGAACACUGACCAUUUUGCCAUUGAUGCGUGCACCCCAUCACUUUAGAAUGUUUCCUUAGCUUUCUGUUUAUCUCAGAGCCAUUUACUCAACUAAACCUUCAGGUGGUGGUUAUUCCUAUAAAGAUUUCAGAUGAAUUAGUGUGAUCUUAUUAACUUGUCUACAUUAUCUGUGUUGGUAUAUUUCAUUUUUCAUUGAUUUACUAAUGUUUUCAGCAAAAUCACAUGUGUGUGUGUGUGUGUGUGUGUGUGUGUGUGUGUGUGUGCGAUGAUUCACAUCCAUCUGAUGGCAUAUACCAUCUGUGAUGACACUUGAUGGCAUAUAUACCAUCUAGGGUGACAUUUUGGAUAACUGAGAAAAUAAUUUUAGGUAGAAGAAAACAUGACUGAAUAUUAAUUUUUAAAGAAUAUUUUGUGGACAUUUUAUCGACUUAAUCCCAUAUGAUCUCAAACUAAAACGUAUUACUAGGUUUCACAAGUCUCCUAAUUUAAAGAAAAUAUUUUGAUUCAAUAUUAAUUUGAGUUCCUAGGUCCUUAGUACAUUGUAAGCGAAGAAACAUAUCUACUAAAAUGGCUACUAACACACACGAACACACACACACACACACACACACACACACACACACACACACACUCAUGCACAGGCACAAGCACAAAUAUAUUCUCAGGCACAGGGGCAUGAACAUGUAUAAAUAGUAUUAAUCUAAGGUAGGUAUCUCUAUUCAAGACUUGAAACACAGUGAGAAUUGCCCAUAGUAAUCAUUGGGGAGAAAUGCUAGAAUGAAGUGAUAACAUUCACAUCAGGUGAGGACGAAAAGAGAUACAGAGGUAAGAGGAUAACCAUAGGGAUAGGGGAAGAGGAAGAGUUAGGUGAGAGGGAAGUGUACACACAGAGAGAGAGAGAGACAGAGAGACAGAGAGACAGAGACAGAGAGAGACAGAGAGGAGUGUUUCAAAGUUCCUCUCCAAAGCAUGCCUUCAUGCCUUCGGAAGCUUGAGCAACUGCCGUAAGGUCCUACCUUCUAUUCAUUCCACAGGAGCACACUCUAGACAUCAUGUUUCAACACAUGACUAUGACUUUUGGGGGAAUUCCAUCUAUUUUAAAUAUAGCUCAAAGAAAAAUUGAUUGAAUCCAAUAUAGUCUUUUGUAAAUAGAGUUGUUUAGAUUUUUUUUUUUAAUUUCAUGUCUCCAGUAUAUUUUUUUACCUGUAUCCUAGGGAAGAAAAUAGGGGCCAACCAACAUAAAAUUUUCACCUAAUUUCAGGAUACAAUACUGCCUUAAAAUUGGUUCAUAGGUAGGAUAUCAUUAUAUAUGCCAGCGUGUUUUGAAUAUGGCUACUGGUUUAUAGGGCUCUCAAAGGCAAGUCACAAAAGUACUGAAUUUGUCUGCUAUGUUCACAAAGAAACUCUCCAAAUUCUCUCACAUGAUAAGCUGCUGUGCUCCUCACCUUACUAAAGAGAGGUUGUGUCCUACUGCUGAAUGAAAGGAUGCUAUUCUUUUUUUUUUUUUUUUCUGUAUCGAUUCUUUUUUUUUUUUUUCUUUCCAUUUUUUAUUAGGUAUUUAGCUCAUUUAGCAAAAAGUUAAUUCCAUUAGAUGGGUCUUGCUGGAUUGUCUCACACUGUCUGUUAGUAACCAUAUCUAUGCAAUGAAGUCUCCAUGAAACCCUAAAAGAACAGAGUCCGUGUGACUUUCCAGUGCUAGAACACAUAAAAAUGUUUACAGAACAAUACAUCCAGGUGUGUAGAACUUCUUGUUCAAUUCAUGUUACACAUCUCUUCAUCCUCUCUACCUGUCUUCAAAAUAUAUUGUUAAACAGUUUUUCCUUCAGUUUUGUGAGUCAGCCAUGAACAUUAAUUGAACCUAGGCAGGGUUUUGUGGGAGCCCUGAUUUAUAGCUGAUAAUUCAUGAGCACAGAUAAGGUGAAGAGGAGAGGGUGCAAUGGGCAUUCAGACUAUCUGUUGGAUGACAGUCAUGGGGACUGAACCUUCAGCUCAAGAGAUUUGACACUAUCUCCCUGCAGAUAGUGUCAGAUUUUAAUUGAGUUUGAGCCUUGCGCUGAUGGAUUGCUUGACGGUGGAGAGAAGUCCACAGAGCUUUUCACGUUCACAAAGUGAUUUGUGCUCAUUUCAGAGGGAGAGGAAGAAACAACUCGAGAUGGUUUACAUUUUGUUUAGUCAAAGCAAGACAGAGAGAGGCAAAGAUGAGAACAGUGCUCAAUCGGUCUUUGCUUCCAAGUAGUACAGAAAAAAAC